UAUUAAUUAGUUUUAUUUUAAAAUUAAAGUUUUGGGGACUUUGGAAACUAAGGUUUUUUUUCAUAUUAGUAUUAAUAA
Molecule: transfer RNA, 78 nt
Filed under: Clavelina oblonga
Lineage: Eukaryota; Metazoa; Chordata; Ascidiacea; Aplousobranchia; Clavelinidae
Description: transfer RNA-Pro
Source: RNAcentral